AGGUAGUAAUAAAAAUAAAACCUAUCGCAAUGGCGGCAUUUCAUCUAAUUAGAGGAACUUGUUAUUUAAUCGAUAAUCCACGUUAUUUCUUACUUUAUUCAAAAAUUUAUAUACCUCCAUCGAAAGAAUUUUUUUGAAAAUUUAUUCUAAAUGAUAUCAAAAAGUUAGGUCAAGGUGUAGUCCACAAUAAAGAAUUAAAUGAGUUACUUUAAAUAUAAUUUAAGAAACAUUAAUUUCAAAAAUAAUACGAAAAAGGAUUUAUUAGUAAUUUACAAAUAAUAAUUGUUUUUGAAAAAGAUAAUAAAUGUGC
Molecule: ribosomal RNA, 310 nt
Filed under: Dictyna major
Lineage: Eukaryota; Metazoa; Arthropoda; Arachnida; Araneae; Dictynidae
Description: partial 12S ribosomal RNA
Source: RNAcentral